AGACUGCCCAACUAGGCUUUGUUAUUCUAUUUUUAAAAUAUUGUUUGAAAUCUUUCUUAAAUCUUCUGGUUUUUUCACAUUAAAAAAAUAAAUUGUACUACUUUUAUAAUGAGAAAAAAAUCACCGUUUUAAAGUAAUGUUUUCCUUUGUACUGUAUCAUAAAAUCUGGUUUUUAUGUCUACUUCAGCUGGAGACCCACACUGUUUCAUGACAUAAUUGUGUCUAAAGGAGAAAUGUCAAGGAUCUAGUUUUCCUCGGGAUUAUAUGAUACAAAGAUCUCCACUCCCUAGGUAGCUAUGAUCUCUUAGUAGCAAAGAUAAUUUCUGCUUGUAGAGUCUUAGGAUUUUAUUGAUCACAUAAUGUCCAUCAACAUCACCAAAGUAUGUGUUCCACUCAAACCUGACUCAGAGAGAAAUUUCACAAAUUAUUAUAGGUUACAGUAUUAAAAUAUCUUAUCCAAUAUCUUCUAAAUAUCUCCAUCACCAUAUAAUUCAUACCCCAUAGUGAACAAAAUGGAAUGGAAAGCGUGUCAUUUCAUUUUAUUGGUAGAAUGAGGUAAAGUCAAAGCUUCCAGUCACUGUAGACUUCUUGACACCUCAGAUAUUACGCUUCUAUACAUGCCAAGUUACCUAAAUUUUACGAUCAGAUUCCUGUAUAGGAAUGCUAUAAAAUGUUGUAGAUUAAGAAAAUGCAAAAUUUAGGAGAUUUUUUAAGCAAUUAACUGAGAAGAAAGAAGAAUAAACAAUUAACUAGACAGGAAUGGUGCAAGCUAAAAAUAACACUGCAUUGGAUACUUCUGGGAAAAUUCACCUUGAAGAAAUCACAGCAGAUAACUGAUUCAGCCACAAAUGAAGGGCCAAGAAAUAGACUUUAAAUACUUUUGACCAUAAGUAAGAAUAUUAUGUCUUUAUGUAAUUAAUAAUACAAGGCAGGAUAUAUCAUUAAAGACUUAUGAGGUGACUCUCAAGGUUUGUUUUUACUGGGGAGGAUUCUGUAGUUGUGUUGAUUCAUUUAAAGUGAAUGAGAGGAUCUUCUGGUUUCCUGUUAGGAUGUAGAAAAUUGUAGAAAGCAUCAUUUUAACCAUGACAACAAGACCAACAAAAUGCCAGAUGGUUGCCAAAUUUAAAACUCAUCUUGAACCCAACAGAAAGCUGAAGUUUCAGGGCAAGAAAAUCUAAGGAAAUAGAGGUUCCUUUAAGGAGAGGUGGGGCCUGAGGGCUUCUUAACUAGGGUAGACAUUUCCAGACACCAGUAAGAAGAAUUCAGCUAAUAUUUUUAACCAAUUACAAAAGACCAAAUAUGGGCUAGAGAGAGAACCCCUGUGAGACAAAGACCUAAAGGGAAUUUGCACCCACCUGCAGGCUAUACCCACAUACCUGACUGGGUGCUCACAAAAGAGGUAGAGGUAGGGCAAGAGUUUUAACAAAGCAUCUCAUAAGGGAAUAGUAAUCACCAAGGGAAAGGAUAUGAAUUCCUCUUUUGGAUCCUUCUCUAUUUUCCCUCUUGAACUAAAGGCUUAAGACAUUGGGGAACAGCAGCAAACUCUGUUGCCCUUAAGGUACUGGUAAAAACUCAUUGUGGCCAAGGAAAGAAAACAGAACAAAACCAUUACUGAUGAGGAGGGGUGGGAAUAUGUGCUGGGGACAGACCUACAGAUCACGGCAUGUUAGCUUAAUUGGUGACUAGAUUGGCUCCAGUGCCCAACUGGUAAAUGCCCAGCAGAAGGAAAGUUGUGCUAAUUUUCCAGACAUAAGAAUUAGUUACAUCAGUCUCUACUUUCCUGUACAAGUUAUCUGACUUUCAACAAAAAUUACGUGUCAUAAAAAAGGAAAAAACCCACAUUGUCAAGAGACAAAUCAAUCACCAGUAGGUUCAGAGAUGGCAACUGUGGGAAAUAUUAGAUAGGGAACUUAACCAUGAUUAAUAUCUUAAAUGAUCUAGUGGAAAAGAUGGACAACAUGCAUGAUCAGAUGGUUAAUUUCAGCAGAGAGAUGGAAACUAUAAGAGUUAAAUGGAAAUGCUAGACAUGAAAAAUACAUAAGAUAUCUAAAAUGCCCUUUAGCUUCAUCAGUAGAUUCAACACAGGCAAGAAAGGAAUCAGUAAACUUAAAGAUAGGUCCAUAGGAAUGACCCAAACUGAAACACAGAGGGGUUUAGGACAGGGAGAGGUAGAAACUAACCUUUGGUUCCCAGUGUCAUGCAGACCCCGUCUUUUUUCCCAUCCCUCAGCAAGGCCUCUAGCUCAUAUCAGUAGCAUUGGUAUGGAUACUCCAUAGCUGAGCUCGAGGCUCCUAACAGUAAACCACUUUGUUAUAUGGAAAAUUGGGUCUCCCCUACCUCUCCCAGCUCAGCCAAUAAAUAAAGCAGUGCAGGUCCAGUUUCCUCUACUGGGGCACUUUUCUCAGCACUUGCACUACCAUUGACUCAAAUACAGCUUACUUCUGUGCACUCUACUUCUUCUAUGCUCAUAAAUUUAUUCUCAAUAAAUACUAUCACUGUUUCCAUUAUGAAUGCAUUAUGGUGUGGGUUACCAUGUACCCUACCUGAUGUUUGGGAUCUACUAUGGGGUCCCUGCCAGUGCCAGUUGAUUUGGUAUUAUGGUUUUUUUAAAUUAUGGAAAGAGGCUAACUGGAAAGGGCUAUAAGACAUCCCCAUGGGAGCAGUGGUAAGGUCACUUGGCUGAGGUUGGAUGGUUGGUGACAGGAUGGUUCCUGAGGGACAUGGCAGAAGGUGGAAGUGCUAUGAGAGGGCUAUGAGGGUAGAUAACAUGGUUCAUGAAUUGAUGCCCUGGUUACUCUGCAUUUGUAAGUAUUUUUGAGCCCUUGGGAGAAGGGAGAAGGGAGAAAACAGGAAAGACUCUCUCACUGCAUCCAGGGCAGCUGGUAGAACCAAUGACUUAUCCUGGAGAUGCCACAGGGAAAGACCCCUACCACUACCUCCAGUGUUGCCAACAGGACAAGACACAUGGCCACUUCAGAGACAGGGGAAGUUAUUCCAGAAGGGAAAGAAGAAUGGCUGGUAUUGCAGCUAUGGAGGCAGUUUGAAACUAAUUUCAUAUAGCACAUUAUACAGGGGACUAAAGGAGGCCAUCACUGGAAAGAGGUACCAGAUUACAUAUGAGAUCUAGCUCCCUACAUGAGUGCUAUCAUCAACAUGCAAAGGGGCCUUUAAAAGCUUAGGAUAUUCUUUUUCAUGAAGAAGGGAUGACAGUUUUAUUGAGUGAAGUUGCAUGAUAAGAGACAGGGUGAAUUAACAUAUGACCCCUGGCUAGAGAAUUAUGUAGGUUUAUUAAAAAUGGUAGGAAAGGCUAUUGCUGUCCAAUUCUUUAUCAAGUACUUGGUGCAUUUGGGAAUACAUACUCUUAUUGAGAAAUAUCCCUGAGGUUAUAAAUAUAAACUGGAUUACCUCACUAAGGUAUUUGCCACUUUGAGACAGUUGCUGUGUUACCAUAGUUAUAUGAGAGCUGGGACACUGAGGGAGAAUUUCUCACAAUACACCCUUGACACAGAGAAUGAAAGUUGAUUUAAUAUGGGCAUGUCCUUCUCAAAUGGACAAUGUCUUUACAUUUUCUUUUUUCACUGGGUGAAACUAAUGUUUCCCUACCUCAAAGGAGAAAAUAAUGAAAAGGGGCCCCAGAAUGUGUCUCAGGUUUCUCUCCAAGAUGAAAAAAAUUGGGGGAGCCAAGAAAGAAAAGACAGAGGAUCUUGUCACAGUUACUGUGGCUGCCUAACAAAUGACUCCUAAACUUAGUGUUUUAAAACAAUGACAACAUUUACUUUGCUUAUAAAUCUACAAUUUGAGCAGGGCUUGGUGGGGAUAAUUUAGUUUCUGCUCCAGCUGGCAUCAGCUGUGAGCACAAAAGGCUGGAAUCAUCUGAAAGCGCUCUCACUCACAUGUCUGGAAGGUGUUGCUCGAACCUCAGCUGGGGCUAUUAGCCAGAAAACUUACAUGUGGUUUCCCUAUGUGGCCUGGGCUGCCUCACAACAUGAUGACUGGGUUUCAAAAGCUCCAAGGGCAAAAGUACAGACUGAGAGCCAGGAUGGGAACUUUAUCAUCUUUUCUAACCUAGCUUUCUAAGUCAUGUAACAUCACUUCGACUGCAUUCUACUAAUUAGAAGCAGGUAUCUAAAACUGAUUUAUAUUCAAAGGGUAGGGAAUUAAACUCCACUUUUUGUGGGAGGAUUCAAAGAAUUUGUGAAUAUGUUUUAAAACUACUACCAUCUGUCCACUGGCCACAAAUUAUCUACAUUCCUUCCAUAUGCAAAAUACACUCAGACCUUCCCAAGCUCCUCCACAGGUUUCAUUUAUUACAGCACCAGACUCAGGUUCACCAUCCAUUUUACUUGGAUCUAGAUGUGGAUGAAGUGUUGCAGGUGUGGUUCCUUGAGUUCAGCUGCUCAUGUACAGCUUCUGUUGAGUUGAACACCUCUGAACUGAAAAGACCAGUUUUCUGCUCCAACUCACCCAACAUAUGUUGGUGGGAGAGACAUAGGACAACGAGUUUUCGACCAACAUGGGAAAAUGGGAGGUGCACAGGAGUCACUGGUCCAUAGCAAUACUGAAAUAUGGCCAACCACAUGUUUCCAGUUCAUCAAUCAAGUCUCAGUCACACUGCCUUGGAGCGAUUCACUUUGCCCUUCCCCUCUGUGCUCUUGUCCUCUUUCCUAUUAGUUAACUAUUGCUACAUAAUAAGUAAUUCCAAAACUUAGUGGUUUAAAACAAUGAUCACCAUUAUCUCUCUUUCUAGGGGUCAGAAAUUCAGGAGCAGCUGGAUGGCUCUGGUUCAAGAUCUCUUGCAAGGCUGCAAUCAGAUAUUGGCCAGGGAUGUAGCCGUCUGUAGGCUUGGAAUCCACUUCUCAGGUGGCUUCCUUGCGUGGUGUUGGUGUAAUGGUUGGGUUUUGGGUAAUGGUUAGAAGCCUCGAUCCUUCUUUAUGUGGGCUUCUUUACAGGAAUUCUUGAAUGCUCUGGCUUCCCCCAGAACAAGCAAUCUAAGAAGGAGUAAGUUGGAAGCCACAAUGACUUUAUGACCUAGCUUUGAAGUCACAUAUUAUCACUUCCACUGAAUUUUGUUUUUAAAGAAGCAAAGAAUCAGUGUAGGAGGGGACUAUACAAGGAUGUAAAUGUCAGGGAGUAUUAGGGGCCAUCCACAAAGAUAUAUGACUAUGAAAUCAUGGAUAGAGGGACCAAAAAAAAUAGAAAUUGAACAGGUGCUCAUCAGCUAAUAAUGGAAGAUAUGUAAGAAGACUGGCAGACCCACGUGAAAGUCAAAGCUGUAUACAGAGACAAUAGGGAAAAGUCAAAUGGCUCAUUGUCUGUAUAAACAGAGAUCCCUGAAUAGUCUUGUAUUAACUGUCCCAGAUAGCAGUUCACAGUGAAAAUGUAUUUUGGUGCUGAAUUUGUCACUCACAAUCUGAUUGAGUUUUGGGUGACUUUGCUGGCAUCCUAUUGUCAGAGAAUGCUGAGGAAAUCACUAUGACUUGCAGAAUCCAGAGUCCCUGUUUUCUCCGCCCUCUUCAGUUCUCUUCCAAUUAUCCAUGCCCAUCAUGUUCAACUCUCAAGUGUGCAGUGAUGCUCUUGUUCUGCCACCUCACUUCCCAGAAGUCUUGGAAACUAUCCCUAAGGGACCUGGUGAUGCUCUUCUCCACACCCCAUCACUACAACCAGGCCUAAUCUAUCCCAUCACUAUUCCCUAAAACCACACAAGUCAUCUUCUCCCAUGGACAAUUGUCAUUGCCAAGUGAAUAUUGAAUGUUAUCCUGACUCUGUAUGUGUACCCUUUGUGUAUCCCAUCUCAGGACAUGUUUUCCUAUGUGGACAUACAGCUGUCCACUGCCCUCUUCUAGAUGUAACACCUCUCUUACUCUGGGAAUAUCUCUACAGUCUUCAUAGUGGCUAAGAACCCUCCAGGACACCUGUCCUUAAGGUCUCUGGAACCAGCACUGGGGCCUCCUUAUGGCAUCUAGGAAACAGAUUUUUACCAGUUUGUGUGAACAUUCUGGACUUGGAUUGGCACUUCUAAGGCCAAGACAUAAUCUUCAACCUACUGGCUACCCUAAAACACAUUUUCCAGAGCCAAUCAGUAUCUCAUCACAUACCUGUUGACUUGGCUUCUGCAGGAACUAGCUGUGCAAUCUUGAUAAAGUCACUUCACCUCUCUGACUCAUUUUUUUCUCAUCUAUAAAA
Equus caballus (horse) is the source of this 6183-nucleotide long non-coding RNA. NCBI's taxonomy places the organism in Eukaryota, Metazoa, Chordata, Mammalia, Perissodactyla, Equidae. The record is from Ensembl.